RNAcentral lists this ribosomal RNA (467 nucleotides) under uncultured bacterium. RNAcentral describes it as "partial 16S ribosomal RNA". It matches the Rfam family "Bacterial small subunit ribosomal RNA", at positions 28 to 507 of the family's 1533-position model. The record is from RNAcentral.
GACGAACGCUGGCGGCGUGCUUAACACAUGCAAGUCGAACGGAAAGGCCCUGCUUUUGUGGGGUGCUCGAGUGGCGAACGGGUGAGUAACACGUGAGUAACCUGCCCUUGACUUUGGGAUAACUUCAGGAAACUGGGGCUAAUACCGGAUAGGAGCUCCUGCUGCAUGGUGGGGGUUGGAAAGUUUCGGCGGUUGGGGAUGGACUCGCGGCUUAUCAGCUUGUUGGUGGGGUAGUGGCUUACCAAGGCUUUGACGGGUAGCCGGCCUGAGAGGGUGACCGGCCACAUUGGGCCGGGGAUACGGCCAAGACUCUUCCGGGAGCAGCAGUGGGGAAUAUUGCACAAUGGGCGGAAGCCUGAUGCAGCAACGCCGCGUGCGGGAUGACGGCCUUCGGGUUGUAAACCGCUUUCGCCUGUGACGAAGCGUGAGUGACGGUAAUGGGUAAAGAAGCACCGGCUAACUACGUG